GACGAGUCUGACGAACGUUAUUCGGAAUUACUGGGCUUAAAGGGUGCGUAGGCGGUGGAGUAAGUUGGAUGUGAAAUACCUUAGCUUAACUAAGGAACUGCACUCGAUACUACUUUGCUAGAGUAAGACAGAGGUGAGUGGAACUGAGGGUGGAGCGGUGAAAUGCGUUGAUAUCCUCAGGAACACCGGUGGCGAAGGCGACUCACUGGGUCUUUACUGACGCUGAUGCACGAAAGCGUGGGGAGCAAACAGG
Molecule: ribosomal RNA, 253 nt
Filed under: uncultured bacterium
Lineage: Bacteria
Description: partial 16S ribosomal RNA
Rfam family: Bacterial small subunit ribosomal RNA
Source: RNAcentral